Long non-coding RNA from Pelmatolapia mariae (spotted tilapia), 3604 nucleotides. RefSeq lists it as uncharacterized. The record is from RefSeq and is a predicted model, not a curated record. The transcript has 3 exons. Lineage: Eukaryota; Metazoa; Chordata; Actinopteri; Cichliformes; Cichlidae.
UGUGAAACUGAAAUGAUACAGAAUACAGAAAUGUCACAUAAACAUUAGCUUUGGUUGAACUUAUGUGGACAUAUAAAACACAUCAAACGUUUCCAAGUCACUUCAAAAAUGUCAUAUACCUUGUCUUAAAGGUAAAUACAAUUAAGAAACUUACUCAUAUUGCCACUCAAAGGGAUUUAACGGAGUGGAUGGCUUUGGAUCAGAAGAAACACACCAUGUCUUGCUUCACUCAUGAGCAAACACUUCCUAUCACACUUCUUCUAGUAACUAAUUGGUUCAACAUAGCAAACUGUGCAAACCUGCGCCCCCUAUAGGUCUGGAGAAAUAGCAUACAAACAGUUCCAGUACAAUCAUAAUUAACAAAACGUAACAAAACAAAGCGUAACAAAACGUGUAACAAAACGCUACGUCCAGAUGAACAGAUUCAACUUUUGGAGAUUUACUUUCCUGGAUGAUUGAGCAUGCAUCAAGAAGCUGAAGGAACAGUUCCCUAAAGGGAAACCACACAGGAAACAAGAAACUACUAAUUUUGUGGUAUCGGGCCCUAAAAACAGGUUUACUCCAUCUUGUGGGUUAAAACAGGAACUGAGUAACUGACUGAUUGUUGAGCAGAUGAAAAGGCCCAAAUGCAGCUCUGUGAGCAGUCUGGAAUAACAGCUACAGAAUAGAAAGUUCAAAAGGGAAAAAUCAAGACAGAAAUCUAGAAAACAGCAUACGAGGGAACAAACAGGUGGUGUGAUAAGAGUACAUAUACACAGAGCUGACUGUAAAACAAGACACAGUUGGGAACAACCAAGGAGUCAGAUGGCACACAAAGCAAGGAACACAAAGCAGUAUGAUGUUCUUUUACAGUACUAUGCUGAGGAUUACAGUGCUAGGCUGGGCUAUAGAGUUCAGGGUUCAUCAGGGUUAGCAGACAUCAAUUUAAGGUGAUGAUUCACUCACAGAAUUCUUUAUAUUAGCUUUAUAAUGUCAGGGGGUUUGGACAUUAGCUGUAUAGCCUAUUAAAAUCUGCAUGUAUCUCAUUAAAUGUAGCUGGCCGAAUCUACAAAGGACAGAGUAUGUUGGAGUAGCAGAACAGGUCAGCUGAUCUUAGGGAAUCUUAAAGGUCCUCCACCUGCCAAAUCCCACUUUAACCACUGCUCAUAAUUAACUUUAAUGUUCACAGAUUUACUUGUUUUGUUUUUUUUCUAGUAACUGAAUGUUGUUUCGCACAGUUGCUAACUUUUAAUCUGUCAGCACCUGAACUGUGCGAGGGUAUGUGCUUUGUGUUUGUUUUGUUUGUUCUUCUCUGCAGGCUGGUGUGCUCGGGGAGGCUCUGCUGCAGCAUGUUUUUAUCCUGUCUUCCUUCUUUCACCCCAACUGGUCGCAGCAGAUGGCCCCGCCCCUCCCUGAGCCUGGUUCUGUCAGGCUCAGGUUCCCACUGUCGCCAAAGUGCUUGCUCAUAGGGGGUCAUAUGAUUGUUGGGUUUUUCUCUCUAUGUAUUAUUGUAGGGUCUACCUUACAAUAUAAAGCACCUUGAGGCGACUGUUGUUGUGAUUUGAUGCUGUAUAAAUAAAACUGAACUGAACUGAAUUGAACUGUGUCGCAGCACCCUCAUUAAGACGGCCGUUCUCUGCCAGAUCGUUAGUACUAACAUUAUGUGUCCUUUGUUAAUAACUCUGUGUUCUGUGCCGUCAGCUAGUAUUCUCAUUGUGAAUUUUCCAGUUGCCUGAUUCUUCUGGCUCCUGCAUGCUUUCUUGGAUCUAUUGAAGAACUACUCCUGCUAACUCUUGACUGUUACUGCUACUCAUCUACCUGCCCGUUCUGCACUGCUGUCCAGCUACCGAACCUUGCCUCCCCCAGCUACCCUCCACGCCGCCUCCAUGAAACAUUGUUACAAGAACAAAGCCUCAGGGGGAAUACCAAGCAGCUCUGCUAAGCCUGCAUCCCAAUCCACUAGACAAAGAGACAACUCUUCAAAGAAACGCUGGGCCUUUAAACAGUUAACAGCAGCAAGCGCUUUAAACAUGACAGUGUUUGGGAAUACUUUGCACCACUAAGCCUUGAAGAACUCCCACACUCCAAAUCACAGUCCUCAAACGAGAAAAUUGACAAGAUGAACUCUUUAUCAUGGUCUCCGAGUAUUUUGAUGUUCUUUCUGCCUUAAACCUGUGCACUUCUUCCUUCAUGUCAGUGACACAGAUUGUUGUACUUUUCAUAAAAUGUGAAAAAAAUAAGCAUAUUUAAUGCCGGAAAAAAAUGGAAACACCCUACAGUUUAAUGCCAAGAGUGACAGAACCAUAACACAUUUCAAAUACAACUGAAGUUGUUACUCAAAAAAUGUGGUUAUUACACAUUACUUGUUACUUUUCUUAAAAGUAUUGCAGUGCGUUACUUAAAAGAGUAAUUUGUUUCACUAAUCAUUACAUUACUUUCUGGUUACUUCAUAAAACGAGCUGAAAGGCGCUGACUCAUAAUUACCAGUUAACAGUAUAGAUCUGACCCACACACUAACACAUCCCAGUGACGACACGCUGUGUUUAGUUUUACAUAUGAACACAAAGAGACUUCAAAUCCAUCUGCACAGUGAUUCUAUUGUACAACAACAAGCAUAACUGCGCAUCACUGUUAUCUGUUCACGUUCAGGCUCUGGCUGUGACGAGCAUACCUUCAGCUUUACCAUCAAUCUGGGCUUUUCACUAGCUUUGUGUUAGCGUGCUGUCUGUGCAGAUGUUUGCAAAGAGCAGCAGUUGCAGUAGUUCACAGUAUAAUGCAGUUGUUAUUACCCUGGACUUUCAUGCUCCCACACAUGAACUAAAUACAGUUGAUUGCUACACUCAGUGUGCAGAUCACUGAAGACGUUCUGUAAUGCAAACACCAACAUGAUUUGACUGUAAUGUAAAUAAUGGAUGCUGUCACAUAUGGAUGUGACUGGCAGAUGACCAACCAGCUGCAGUGUGGGAUCAUGCCAUGAAAGAGGACUACAUAUGUCAUGUUUGCUUUGAGAAUGUUGAUGGAAAAAUGUAGCGAGGGUGUUACAGGUUCAGAAUAUUGGGGAUGGACACAAGAGGAAAACCAAAAUAACAACACUGGUCCGGCCGAGGCAAGUCAAAACGAUGAUUUUAAUGAACACACGUGUGGGAGACAAAAACUGUACGCAGACAGCAAAACUCUCCCCGAAAAAAAACACAACAAUAGUUUUUAUGAACAUCAGGGUAUUAGAACGCCCCCUCAUGCGUACAGUAGCUACAAUACAAUCAAUGUUGACAACUUUUAACAUAUUGAAAGAACAUCUUCUUCUUGCCGAGGCCAGAUCCUUCCCCAUAAUCUUCCACUCUGCUUAUCCCCUGGAACAAACCGUCUCUCCUGCAAGCACAAUCAAACAGCUACAAGGCCCUGCAAACUGUUUUCUAAAUAUUUGAACUCUCCCCUUCACAUGAGUUUAACUACUGCUUGUGUGUGUGCGUGUGUGCCUAGGCCUCAGCAUUCACUCUGUCUAUAAGGACAGAGGCCAACCCUUCAUGUGUGCAAUAACCUAACUGAAACCAUACAGGUAAUAUGUUGAAUAAAUGUUCUAAUCAAAUGUCACUGUUCAAAGCUUAAUAAAUGAAUAUAAAUGAAU